ACGUAGGGUGCGAGCGUUAAUCGGAAUUACUGGGCGUAAAGCGUGCGCAGGCGGUUUUGUAAGACAGAUGUGAAAUCCCCGGGCUUAACCUGGGAAUGGCGUUUGUGACUGCAAGACUUGAGUGCGGCAGAGGGGGGUGGAAUUCCACGUGUAGCAGUGAAAUGCGUAGAUAUGUGGAGGAACACCGAUGGCGAAGGCAGCCCCCUGGGUCGACACUGACGCUCAGGCACGAAAGCGUGGGGAGCAAACAGGAUUAGAUACCCUGGUAGUCCACGCCCUAAACUAUGCCAACUAGUUGUUGGGGAAGGAGACUUCCUUAGUAACGAAGCUAACGCGUGAAGUUGGCCGCCUGGGGAGUACGGUCGCAAGAUUA
RNAcentral lists this ribosomal RNA (373 nucleotides) under uncultured bacterium. RNAcentral's name for it is "bacterial SSU rRNA". It matches the Rfam family "Bacterial small subunit ribosomal RNA", at positions 525 to 896 of the family's 1533-position model. The record is from RNAcentral.